CCUACGGGAGGCAGCAGUAGGGAAUCUUCCACAAUGGGCGAAAGCCUGAUGGAGCAACGCCGCGUGGGUGAAGAAGGUCUUCGGAUCGUAAAACUCUGUUGUUAGAGAAGAAAGUGCGUGAGAGUAACUGUUCACGUUUCGACGGUAUCUAACCAGAAAGCCACGGCUAACUACGUGCCAGCAGCCGCGGUAAUACGUAGGUGGCAAGCGUUAUCCGGAUUUAUUGGGCGUAAAGGGAACGCAGGCGGUCUUUUACGUCUGAUGUGAAAGCCUUCGGCUUAACCGGAGUAGUGCAUUGGAAACUGGGAGACUUGAGUGCAGAAGAGGAGAGUGGAAUUCCAUGUGUAGCGGUGAAAUGCGUAGAUAUAUGGAAGAACACCAGUGGCGAAGGCGGCUCUCUGGUCUGUAACUGACGCUGAGGUUCGAAAGCGUGGGUAGCAAACAGGAUUAGAUACCCCGGUAGUC
RNAcentral lists this ribosomal RNA (465 nucleotides) under uncultured bacterium. RNAcentral's name for it is "partial 16S ribosomal RNA". It matches the Rfam family "Bacterial small subunit ribosomal RNA", at positions 338 to 795 of the family's 1533-position model. The record is from RNAcentral.